Long non-coding RNA from Neopsephotus bourkii (Bourke's parrot), 1466 nucleotides. RefSeq lists it as uncharacterized. NCBI's taxonomy places the organism in Eukaryota, Metazoa, Chordata, Aves, Psittaciformes, Psittacidae. The transcript is spliced from 3 exons. The record is from RefSeq and is a predicted model, not a curated record.
CUCUGGCCCAGACAUGAAGAAGAACCUCAGUGUUCCAGUUCUCAGGGGAGUGAUUUGUUCCUCUGACACUCUUUCCAGCUCUGCUGGAAUUUUUCAAAUGAAGGCUUAAGUCUAUUACUUACAUGGUAUUUUCAUAUGACAAAUAUGACAUUUAUUCACAUUUAGCCAUACAGAAAGAUAAAUGAAGGCAAUCAAAUAUUCAGUGAUUACUGUAAGAUUACCAUAAAAGACCAUAUAAAAGGUAAGACAAGAACUGUGCAGGUUGAAUCCGAAUCCUUUUACCUAUCCACUAGAUAAUGUUCCAUAAUAACUUUAAUAUUUAUGGUUGGUGGUCAAAAUAUUUUAUUUUCAAGCAACAUUUUGAUACGGAACUUUGAUUAAGCUCUUUGUUUAGAAACUAAAAUACGUAUUUCAGACAGAUUCACCUCUCUAUAAAAGUUUGAUAUCAACAAGUUGGUAUUCCUGUAGACCAUGCAAGGUUCUGCUUUUUUUUUUAAAUGUCAUAUAAUAUUUCAUUUUCAUAAGCACUUGCAUAAAUUCAGUUAAGAGUUAACCAACAAAAAUAUACAAAUAUGAGGGAGGUUUUAUGAAGAACUACAACUUCAAAAGGAAUUGGUUUAGGAGUCAUGACCUUAUUUUUUGCAAUAACUUAUGCAUCAUGAACUUACGUAAUUGGCAGCAGAUAACAUAUCACACUCUCAGUUUUAUGUCCUUGGUUUGACAACAGUGUCAGUUGAAGUAUUUGCUAACUGCAGAACUAAUGAAGCCUCAUAGCUGAAAAUGUUUUCAUUCCAAAACUAGUGUUUGUACCAAAACACUUCCCCUUUAUUGUUCUUUUUCAACAGUACUAAAUUCAGUAUCAGAUAUGCAUAGUGGUAUACAACUAAUUUUGGACAUAAAAAAAAAUAUCUUUCUGAAUACUAUUUAUACUAGCAAAAUAGAAUUAUCUCAGAAAUAAAAACAUAUAUUUUUCUAAUUAAAUGUUAUCAGAAAGCACAAAACCACACACAUGUAAUGACCUUGGAGCUCUCAAUCUUUGUUAUCUUCUCAGCAGGAGUCAACGUCGAAAUAAAAUAUUGGGAAACAAGUGACUUGGAUUUUAAAACACUGUUGUAGAGUAGGUUUCAAUCUACUUCUUCCUUUUCCGAGAGACUGCAUUAAGCAGCAGCCAAGAGGCAAGGCUACACUGGUCCUCUGUGUUGAAACCGGACACCUGUACUAUACACUGGAAAGCAGGAGGUUCUUCAUUCUCCCAGUCCCUGCCUUUGCCUUCUGUGUCUUGGUGAGUGUGGCUGGAGCUCUUGCUGGGGAACACCAAGGUAAAAAUGCCAUUGAGUACCUCAGCUUUCUCCAUGUCCCAGGUCCUGUUUUGCAUCCACCCCACACUCUUACCAGGUUACACAACUUGCUAAAGUAGAGACAUCUGCAGGCCAACAUCCAUUGGAGAAAAGUAAAGGAUGGGAUGG